GGGUACCUCGUGCUUACCACAGGCUAUGCUCUUACGCUGACUGUAUAGAAAGAGGAGACAAAGUAAACCUACCCCAGGUACACCUCAGCCCAGGCCCUGUGCCUGGUCUGUAUUAUGAAUGAGGAGACAUGG
Molecule: small nucleolar RNA, 132 nt
Filed under: Castor canadensis (American beaver)
Lineage: Eukaryota; Metazoa; Chordata; Mammalia; Rodentia; Castoridae
Description: Small nucleolar RNA SNORA51 (ENSCCNG00000011250.1)
Rfam family: Small nucleolar RNA SNORA51
About the family: ACA51 is a member of the H/ACA class of snoRNA that guide the sites of modification of uridines to pseudouridines.
Source: Rfam by way of RNAcentral